GGUUGAACUCCGAGCCUUGUGCAUGCCGGGCAAGUGUGCUACCACUGAGCUACAUCCCAGCCGCAGUAAUGGACCUUCAGCCGCGUGAAGCAAUCAGCUGUGGACAAACAGACACUGAGGUGUGUCCUGUACUCUGCCUUCCAAAACACACCCUGGGCGUGUGCCCUGUGCCAGGAGACCCCACCGGUCUGGAAGACCCGAGAGCCGCUGCUCCACACUCGCCUACCUGCAGCGCCGGCCGCACUGAGCAGCUCUAACUCCCACGGGAGCGGAGUUGGAAGGACUCAGACUGUGAAGCCACUGCCACCUGCAGCCGGGCGGGGCCGGGGCUAAGGCUCUGGCUUCUCCUUCCCCGGCCCGGGCCAGACCUCCGGAGAUGGCGCGGACUCUCGGGGACCCGGGGUUUGAUGCUGGCUGGCAAGCUGGCGAGCUCGUGAGCUGGCUGGGUGAUAACUGGGCCACACCGUCUUAGGUAGAGCCUGAAGCUGCCACCCUGGGGAAGGUGCUCGCCCCUCCUGGGCCUCCGGGGUCUUGGUGUGCAGCGU
RNAcentral lists this long non-coding RNA (545 nucleotides) under Chinchilla lanigera (long-tailed chinchilla). Its description in RNAcentral is "lncRNA (ENSCLAG00000025280.1)". The record is from RNAcentral. Lineage: Eukaryota; Metazoa; Chordata; Mammalia; Rodentia; Chinchillidae.